GUGGCUACAUGUGGCUAAUGGAUACCGUAUUGGACAGUGCAAAUUAUACAACUUCUCAGCAGCACAGAAAGUUCUAUUGGACAGUUGUUCUAGAGUCUUCAAAAAUAAUUAAAGACAAGCAAGAUCAGUUCCAUGAUGCCUGGGAUGGACUGAGUCUUGGAUUAAAGGCUGAGACAACCUUGGUCCUGGAGAUGGCAAUUUAUGGAGGCCUUUGAGUGAUUGUUGUAUUGCUGCUAAAGAGGGCCCAAAACUUGGAUAUUGUUUAAAGCCAAAUCAAGGUCCUCUUCAACGUGAUCUUCAAGCGUGAAAUAGGACACGGGCUUUCACUUAUUUUAUACAAGUAGUACCGGUUUUCUAGGACUUGCUUACCUGGUGACCAAAACCAUGUACUGACAAUAUGACAGGUUGGUGGUACUGGUGACUACUGAGACUAAAACAAACUAUACGUGACUCAAACAGAAUCAAAUUUCUGCCUAUCAGUACCAUGCUCCUUAAGCAAAGGAAGUAGCGUAACUCUACGCCCUCCUUAUAAAGGACCACUGGAAAAUUAUAUAUCUCUUCAGACUUC
Molecule: long non-coding RNA, 568 nt
Organism: Leopardus geoffroyi (Geoffroy's cat)
Lineage: Eukaryota; Metazoa; Chordata; Mammalia; Carnivora; Felidae
Exons: 3
Source: RefSeq, a predicted model, not a curated record